RNAcentral lists this long non-coding RNA (1023 nucleotides) under Felis catus (domestic cat). RNAcentral describes it as "lncRNA (ENSFCAG00000048657.1)". The record is from RNAcentral. Lineage: Eukaryota; Metazoa; Chordata; Mammalia; Carnivora; Felidae.
UUAUUACUUAACAUUAUUGAAACCUUCAAAACAGGGUCAAUAAAUUCAAGAAGGAGACUACGAUUAACUCAGUUUAUAAUUCAGCAACAUUUGCUGGUCAAAACUGUAAUGGUAUAUAUGGAGAGUGGAAUGAAUUUCUCUCUCUCAAAAUAAACAAAUGAAUAUAAAAAAAAAUACAACAAAACUUGGGGCGCCUGGGUGGCUCAGUCGGUUAAGUGUCCGACUUCAGCUCAGGUCAUGAUCUUGUGGUUCACGAGUUCGAGCCCCGCGUCGGGCUCUGUGCUGACAGCUCAGAGCCUGAAGCCUGCUUCCAAUUCUGUGUCUCCCUCUCUCUCUGACCCUCCCCCCAUUCAUGUUCUGUCUCUGUCUCAAAAAUAAAUAAACGUUAAAAAAAAAAAUUAAAAAAAAACAAAAAACUAAAACAUUCCUCAUUUCCCUUUCCUUUGGCAUGAACGUUCUGUUUAGGGCAGUUAGCUCAUUCAUCCUCUCAACUUUCCUUUUCAAAACUGUUCUCAAUCAAACAAGAAACUACUCACAACAAACUCCAGUUAAAAUAAUCUUCUCAAAAGUCUUCCAUGAUCACAUCUCUCCACAGGGAGCCUGGCUUUUUGGGGUCUUUCCAAGCACAGACAAAUACAGGAUUGUCCUGAGAGACCAGAAACUUCUGGGGAGACUGGGUCACAGGAGACUCCAGCCUUUCCUAUAGUUAGCGUCACUCCUGGUUCUCCAGGAUGUUGUGCUCUUAGAGAAGUCUUCCCUGCCCAUCACCACUGCACAGCUCUCCAGGAGCAGUCAUCUAAUGGACAGGACUCACUCUCUGUAAAACUAGACUCACGUUCAAGGUCAGGACCUGACCUGUUAUCCGAAUGAACCUCCACCAGGUCUGUGUGGAGUCAGCCCCUGGAAGCUUACAUCCACUUAUCCAGUCUUCUGCUUCCAUCAGUAUGACAGGUCAGUGCCCUAACUUGCAGCUUUCUUGUCUCUAAUGUUCCUGGUGAUUUGCUGUGUGGUAUACCUCAAGGC